Molecule: ribosomal RNA, 254 nt
Filed under: uncultured bacterium
Lineage: Bacteria
Description: partial 16S ribosomal RNA
Rfam family: Bacterial small subunit ribosomal RNA
Source: RNAcentral
UACGUAGGGUGCGAGCGUUAAUCGGAAUUACUGGGCGUAAAGCGUGCGCAGGCGGUCUGUUAAGACCGAUGUGAAAUCCCCGGGCUUAACCUGGGAACUGCAUUGGUGACUGGCAGGCUUUGAGUGUGGCAGAGGGAGGUAGAAUUCCACGUGUAGCAGUGAAAUGCGUAGAGAUGUGGAGGAAUACCGAUGGCGAAGGCAGCCUCCUGGGCCAACACUGACGCUCAUGCACGAAAGCGUGGGGAGCAAACAAG